GAUGAACGCUAGCGGCAGGCUUAAUACAUGCAAGUCGUGGGGCAGCAGGGGUAGUAAUACCCGCUGGCGACCGGCAAACGGGUGCGGAACACGUACGCAACCUUCCUUUAACUGGAGAAUAGCCCCUGAAAGAGGGAUUAAUACUCCGUAACAUAUAGAUGUGGCAUCACAAUUAUAUUAUAGCUCCGGCGGUUAAAGAUGGGCGUGCGCCUGAUUAGAUAGUUGGCGAGGGAACGGCCUACCAAGUCUGCGAUCAGUAACUGGUGUGAGAGCACG
Molecule: ribosomal RNA, 276 nt
Filed under: uncultured bacterium
Lineage: Bacteria
Description: partial 16S ribosomal RNA
Rfam family: Bacterial small subunit ribosomal RNA
Source: RNAcentral